CAUCUGCCACUGUUCUGGUAUGGAGCAGCAGAUUUUUUUUUUGUAAGCCAAAGGUGCUUCUAAAUCUGACUGAAAGCAUGUGAGAGAAAACUAGGUCUCACAGUAUGAGAGUGAUGAGUUUCCUCAAUCAGUAUUUCAUUUUUAGCAGAACUUCCUCUAUGACUAGGACAAUUAAAGUAGAAGUCCUUAAAAAAAAAAGCAAUGCACAGAUUCAUUUUUCCUAGGCAGUCAGCAGCCUUUCAGAAAGAUUUCUCAUCCUGCAGCAUACUUCAUGCUGAUGCAGUGCAACUCCUGGGAUGUCCUGCAGACUCAGUGUUAAAGUCCCAUUUGUCAAGGAUUCUUCUCAUGGCCUUGCUGUGAGUUUCUCCAGAUACAAAGCUGUCUCCAGAUUCCCCCCCCGACCCCAGGGAAGCUGCUGAAGCAGUUACAGCAUAUCUCAUGUAUUCAAAAAGAAAUAGGUUAAGGAUUCUUUAGUCCAAAGUCUUCACCUCUAUUCUUGCAGGGGAACAAAGGUGUCAGCUCUGUUAAUACAGACCCACAGCAGCUCUGGAACAGCUGGAAGAACGUGGCUUUGUCUCCUUGCUCUCAAAUUCACUGUAAUUAAUCUUUAGUUCCCGCUUGCCUCAAGAACAGCCCUGAACACAGGAGUGCACACAAGGCUUUGGUGUGGUAUUAAGCCUUGAAGUGAACAUGCAAGCUCUCCCUGUCCCUGCAGGACUGGGAUGUUCUUUCUCAAGAAUAGCACCAAGAAGCAGCAGAGGACAAAAUGACCCUGAAGGAGUCUUAAAACAUGACUAACAGCACGCCAGUACUUGUCACCCCGAGGCAGCACUGCCCUCUGCUCCACGCCCUGAACCCAAGCACAGCACUCUCCCUGCUCCUUUCUGAGGAGACACUGGCACCUACUGGAGACCAGAUUACAUCCAUGCUGAGGUGACUGGGAUAAAGGCAAGUAUUCUUGUAUGUGAAAAACGAGCACAUCUUGAGAAGGGAUGGAUUGUCUUGCUGCAGGGGCAGCCCUAGGAAGUGACCUCGGGGUGGCCUUCCAGGCUGGCUCCUGUCCAGAGAAACACUUGUGUAAACUCUUCCUUCUGAAAGGCUGCUGCUGUUUGAAGCUCUGCUUACAGGGGCUUUGGUCAGGAUGGGCUCCUGGUGAAAUCCCCCAAUAUAAAAAGUGCUGGUUACAUUUGUUUAGACAGAAAUCCUCCUCUGGAGACCUGCUGAGUAUGUAAAGCAGCAGGAUGUCAUCCUGCCCCCAUUUACAGUGCAUGAGUGUGAGAGCAGGGAUUGAAAUACAGCUCAGCUGCCCAGUAACAGAACUCAAAAGAGCAGCUUCAGAGAGUUUAUCAGUCUCACAUCAUCCCACCACUUCUCAACAAACUGAAUUAGCAAACGAUUUAUGCAAAUUAAAACUUACAAAUAUUAACAUACAAAGGAAGCUACUGCAGCAAGAUGCUGCACAGGAGAAAAAUCUGUCUCUAGACCAGGCUUUGCCCUCGUUUGGGGUUGCACAACAUGGCCAUCCCCCAGUGGAAACCAGGCAGGAUGUGUUGCUGCGUGCUUGGGUUAUUGGAUCUGGAGGAAUCACCCAGCUCUGGGCCCUCAGCAGUAAAGGGAUGUCCCUGCCUGGUGAAGUUUAUUUGAAGGACCUCUAAAUAUUCAAGAAAUAACAAGAGUCUCUUACUUCACAUCACCUCUACCAGGCAAGACCUGUUGCUGGACUGCUGAAGCCUGAUGGGAAAGCCCAUCCAAGGGGGAAGAGCAUCAUGGCUCCAGGACACUUUUGCAGGUUUCCCCAGGGCAGCUCCAGGCUCAGGCUGGACAUGUGGAGAUCCUGGACUGCUGACACUCCCUCUGAAGUGGGGUUAUGCCAGCUGAGUUCCCAAGACAGCACUCAAUGAUGCCUUCCUUUCAGAGCAGAGGUAUGAAAUGUUUAUUGUAGGAAAUUUUAUGUGCCCCAGAUAGUGGGCACCUCACAGCCAAGUGUUCUCUGGCUGCAUC
Molecule: long non-coding RNA, 2001 nt
Organism: Taeniopygia guttata (zebra finch)
Lineage: Eukaryota; Metazoa; Chordata; Aves; Passeriformes; Estrildidae
Source: Ensembl